GGCCCUAAAAAGACAAAAAAAUAAAAAAAUAAGAUAAAAAAAUGUUUUAAAUACAAGGAAACAAAAGAACAGACACAACACCAGGUCCUAUUUAAACUCCACAGCAACAUGAUCUGGAAAUAAGCCUGCACGUAACAACAAGGCUCUGAACUCAACAAAGUGGGAGGAAGCUGGUCAAAGAAUAAUUUACAGUGGCUGCAGGAUUUUCUCAAAGAGGGGAACGCCGGCCAUGACCUCUGCAGCAGAGGUCAGUGCUGCAGCAGCGAUCAUGCCCUGGGCGUAUGUGAUCCACUCAAUCGUCCGGAUGACAGUUGAGAGGAAAUAUUCCAGACCUGCUGUCCGCCCCCCGGAGCCACGAGCAGUGGAGAGAGUCACCCAGCCCCAUCGGCUGGAAAAGGAGCCUGAGCCCACAGCCCUGGCUGUGCCCACACUGUCCACAUACAGGGACGUUUGAUAAAGGCUCCUGAAUUCUCUCUGCAUGACUUCUGUCAUUGCCGAAGUGUCUUUCGCUUCAUGAUCCGGCUUCUAGAAGCUCAUCAACAGGCAAAGAAGAUGCUGAUCACGUAGAUUUUCUUGUUGCUGUUGUUAAGGCAAUGUCAGCUUUGUUACAAUUAACGAUGACGGCUAAUCGUGCUCGAGUGCUUAUCCCACUUGAUCCUCACAAUCAUCAGAAUCCGACUGCGAGGCAGCAGAGGGAAGCCAUCAAGAGCACCAGGCUGCUGAGAUUCAAACCCUGGCUCUAACCCUUAACAGCUGUGUAACCUCGAGCAACUGGCUGAACCUCUCUGGGCUCCGGUCUCUGCAUCUGCCAAGUGGGAAUUAAGGUAGCACCUACCUCAUGGGGUUGUUGUGAAGAUUAAAUGUGUUAAUGGUCCUAAAGUACUGAGACAGCAGCUGCCACAUAGCGAGUACAAUAUAAAUGGUUGCUGUUGCUCCAUUUCACAGACAAAACAACUGAGGCUCAGGCGGUAAUGCCCAAAUUCCGUAGCUACUCCACGGCAGCUCGUCCAACCCAAAUAUGUUAGGCUUCGGACCCCGGGUGCUUAACCACCAUGCUUGUUAUCAACCAUCAAGAGGAAAACUGAACUUCCCAUCGUGGCGCAUGGUUAACAAAUCUGACUAGGAACCAUGAGGUUGCAGGUUCGAUCCCUGGCCUUGCUCAGUGGGUUAAGGAUCUGGCGUUGCCGUGAGCUGUGGUGUAGGUUGCAGACAUGGCUCGGAUUCCAAGUUGCUGUUGCUGUAGUGUAGGCCAGUAGCAGCAGCAGCUCCGAUUAGACCCCUAGCCUGGGAACCUCCAUAUGACGAGGGAGCGGCCCAAGAAAAGGAAAAAAGACAAAAAAAAAAAAAAAAAAAAAAAAAGAGGAAAACUAACCCUGGUCUCUGUGCCUUCUUGGAUCCUCCUCAACCUUGGGGUGUGUUGGUUAGACAGCCAGACUCCAGACCUUGGAAACAGAGGCCCCAACUCCCCAGCUUCCUGGGUCAGCCCAGCAGCAGGCGAACUUCCCUUGGGUCAUUAACCAGGACAACAGACAGCUAUCUCCCUGCUGACUGCCUGCUGAACUUCCAUUCUCAGAGGCAGGAACUGUCCCGAGUUCUCCAUUCCUGGGAAAAUGGACACAGGACCCUAUGGUCCUUCCCCCCGUCACCGGUGUCCUCCACCUGCCUUUUGUCUGUAGAAAAAAUUUAGUCAAAGAAUAAGUUCAGGAGAUCCCCCUCUGCCGCAAUGGGAUCAGCAGUGUCUUGGGAGCACUGGGAUGCAGGUUCGAUACCUGGCCUGGCACCAUGGGUUAAGGAUCCGGCACUGCCACAGCUGCAGCUUGGGUCAAAACUGCAGGUAGGAUCUGAUCCCUGGCCAGGAACUCCAUAUGGCACAGGUGGCCCAAAAAAUGGAAAAAAAAAAAA
RNAcentral lists this long non-coding RNA (1902 nucleotides) under Sus scrofa (pig). RNAcentral describes it as "lncRNA (ENSSSCG00000045713.2)". Lineage: Eukaryota; Metazoa; Chordata; Mammalia; Artiodactyla; Suidae. The record is from RNAcentral.